RNAcentral lists this unclassified non-coding RNA (4392 nucleotides) under Leishmania donovani. RNAcentral describes it as "gene:LdHU3.32.3050(CDS-product:hypothetical_prote in_conserved)". The record is from RNAcentral. Lineage: Eukaryota; Euglenozoa; Kinetoplastea; Trypanosomatida; Trypanosomatidae.
AGAGCGUGGCACCAAUUUCUGUCGCUCUUGCGCUUCCUUUGCUGGAAGGUCACCGAAGCAUGCGCGCUGGAGAGCGCCGUCGCGGCAUCUCCUUCCGAUCCCCCUUUCCCUUCCCACCAGCCCACCCAAACAAGGAGCAUAUACACAUCACUCCCACACGCUGCUGUCGCGAUCGCUCCACACCUCUCCCCAUUGCUUUCCGCUCGCGCGUGUGUGUGUAGCACGGACAUACACGAAGGAAAAAAAAAGACACGCUCACAUUCCGCGUCCAUAAACGUACAUAGAGGGGGCCAGGGUCACACAUAUACGCAUCAAGACAUCAGCGUGCACCGGAUAGAGGUCCUUUGUUCCUCUUUAUUCGUCCGUUUUCGUUUUACGGGUUGCUCUUUCUCUGCCGAGUCCACGGCUGAUCAGAGAGCACGUGGGCGAUACGCAUAGACACACACGGAAGCGCACACAUAGAGGCAUAUAGAGAGGCGCUCUCGAGCACGUCCGAUCCGCGUUGCCUCUUUCAAGGUGUGCUGUUAGGAGGCAUAAAGCGAGGGAGAGAGGAAGGGGUUGACAGCGUCGCCAUGUCGUGGGUUCGCGUCGAGUGCAGCGGUGGCUAUUGCUACGCGGCUCCUUCUCACGGCCGGUGCGUCCCAAAGCUGGAUGGAAUGGCGCGGCUCUUUCAGGCCCCAUUUUGCCUUCGGCAGCUACACGCCUUCACCACACUGAGCGACAAUGCCCCUGCCAUCUCCGGCUGGAACAACAGCGACUCGUGUGGUGUUCUUGGCACGGAUGAGAGCGUGAACGCAUGCAUCAUCGUUGAUCAACGCAACUUGGGAGGCCACCUGGGCCUUACGACGGUUGCUGUCGGUGACGAGGAGGACGCCGGGCUGUCGGACUCGCCGCCGCUGCGGCUGCUGCUCAACCGUGUGUUUGCAGUGCUCUGCAGCACGAGCGAGCGCGGCGUGCAAGUUUUGUUGGACGCACUCUGCACCCGCGCACCGCCGCCGCUGACGGCAGUCGCGAGUGCUGAGGCCGCUAUCGUGCAUGAGGAUGAUGGCGGGCCACGCGUGCCACCUGCGCUGUGGCUCGCACGCACUCAAGAAGCAGGCAGCACUCCGCAGAACACCUCCGGCAGCGUCGUCACCUCGUCCAAUCGACAGUUCCUGGCCAAGCUUAUGCAGGGCUGCUCUACCGUCGAGGAUGUGACCGGGGCUGCGGAAAAACUGUCGCUGCAGCCACUCCCUUCGGAUGUGGCGGCCACGACAAAGCCGAACCACGCGGCACGCGCACUCCCACAAGUGACAUCCGGCACUGCAAGCACGCCGCCUGCGCAUCCGUCCACCGCCUUCUCCGAAUUUCACGAGUCGGCAUCGCUGGUGAUUCGACCUCCCUUGAGCUACGCCGCUGCGCUGCGCCGCCGCUCGCUGCUUUUCUUUCUACCGCAAGGUGUUGUGCCACUGAGCGUGCUGGCGAUCCACCUUCAGCUCUCUUCGCGGCCAGUGAAGUGCCAGCAGAAGGAAGCCGUAUCUGCACCCUGCGGUGGUGGGGUCGUUAACGCUCAAAGGGCUGCACUGACUUCAACAGGAGGCGCUUCUACCGCCACUGGCGGCUUUACAAGAUCGCUUCAUGCCAUUCUUCUCGAAGAACUAGAGCACGUGCGCGUCGGCGCCGCGCGAGCAGGAGAGGGCCACGAGCGCAACUGUGCCUCUUGCGCGUCCGCGCAGGGGUGUUGCUGUGCGAUGCGGGUGCACUGCAUUUCGCACUUGCGACGGCAGAGUGACAAGCUGCUCAAAAAAAGCUCCAGCUGGGCCGCCGUUGCACGCACGGCCGAGGAGAGCGGCAGGGUGCUGGUGUGGGCGAUUGCGCGGUUGCUUGCGGGCAGCGAGAGGCCGAUGCGCACGAGCCAAGCCACGGACCUGGGGCGCCUCCUCUUGCAUGAUCUGUGGGCUAGUGAGCACUCGACCGGCGGCGAGGGAGGGAGCGCAACCGCCACUAAAGGUCGCGCGGCGUCAACAGCGUGGGCGGGCGCGACGCCUCUCGUGGCUGUUUACUCGCCAUCGGGCCUGCUGUUUGCCUCUGCCAAGUUCUCGAUGCUUCUCAGCCACGAGGAGCAGGUGUUGCUGUCGGCUGCUGCGAUCGACCGUUUGGCUCGCUACGCGGCACCUCGCUCGUUGUUCAGGCCUCACGCAAGCGCGGCAGCCGCCGAUGCGCUCAGCUGGACAUCCUGGCCAAUGCGCAUGGGUGAAGCCGCGGGCAAGCCUUCCGCUGCGGUGGUAAUGGACGUGCUGCUCAUCACUGUUGGCGACGCCUUGGCCUUUUGUCUGGCCUUUCCACGUACGCCGUCUUCGGCAUCCGUGCCACCGUUGUCGUCGUUGCGGUCGGUGCAGUCGCUUCUGGAGUCCACCGUGUCAAAGGCGCGCUCCCGUGUCGAGGUGCCUUCGACAGGGACGACCGCACCACUAGCCUCCGCUUUGGUGUUUGCAUGUACGCACAGCACUGCUCCUUACACGCCAACCUUCCACGAUGCCCUUUUCGCAGUGACAGCACUCGAGGACGCUCUGGACGCGGCGAAGAAGACGUCGCCAGCCGUGUCAGCCGACUCGGCGGCUGGUGAGCAGGUGGGCGUCGCACAAUACUUGCAUCAGCUGCUUUGGCGAGAGAUGUUCCACAUGCAGACGCCAAUUGAAGAAGGCGUCGGUGCCACAGCGGGGGACGCACCAGCUCCCUCUACUCGCGCGGGAUCGGCACCGCGCCAAGCGAACGUGAGCGCCGCGGUGGCCGCGAGCAGCUUCAGGAACAGCACUGGCGGGGAUGGACGCCAUCCGCACAGCGUGUCAAGUGCGCUUCACAAGGUCUUCUCGUGCCUUCCGCUGCGCCACAACGACCCGAGUAAAGGCGUCGCCUCGAGGCAACUGUACAUCACCGAAGCGCAGCAGCAGUCCAGCACCUACGUGAAUCAGUCGAGCAAAGGGGGGCAUCUGUCGUCGCUGGUACCGCUACUGAAUGCGUAUUGGACGCAGUGCAGCAACCCAUACACCGCCUUUCUGCUGGCCAUGCCGCUGGAGGAGAUGCUGUGCUACAUCGCUGCCCUCGUCACCCGCAAUGAGCUAGGCACGCUGCGGCCCAGCUAUGAACUGGGGCUGCACUCGUUCUUCUUUCUACAACGGCCUGUUGCGACUGCAGCAGCCAAGCACCGACACGCUGCACCCGCGAAGGCGUCGGGGUCGCGAGCGUGCAAGAAGACGAGUGCUGACGCGCAGCUGCGAGCACCGCCGACGCGGUUCGGCGUCUCGUUCGCUCGAUUUCGCUUGCAGCAGUCGCCUUGCAGUCACGCCGUCAUACCGGAGGAAUGGGCCGACGCGGAUGGCGCGCCAGACGGCUCUGGCGGACGGCUGACCUUCUUCGAGGACCCCUCGCUUCUGUUACGGCUCCACACGCAUGGUGUGUCACUCGAAGGAAGCACAGUGGAUGGGAAGCGUGGGGAGAGCGAAGGCAGUGAGCGCGCCUACGGAGACACCAGUCAGCGGCUGAAAGAGUCCUCGUCAGUGGGCGUCGCGCUAGAGACGCAGGUGUCUGUGGUGCCCGUGUGGACACUUCUACAGGCUGCACCUGUUGAGUCGCUGGCAACCAGGGAGCACAGCGGCUCGGACACGGAGACGAGCGGCUCGGACUCGUUCGCCGCGGCGGAUGACUUCCGUGGCGUUCAUAGGUCUGUCCCCUCCAGUGUCGACGAAGACGUGCAGCUGGUCACCUCACUCCAUUACGCUUAUCCGCAGCGGCUCCGCCGCCGCGAGCCGGCACCUUCGCCGGUAAACGCAACGCUCUCGACACCUCCACCUGACUCUGCGCAGCAUGCAUCUUCCUCGACUUUGCCGCAUCCACAACCCUCGGACCACUUACCGCAGGCAAAUGUCACCAACACUGCCGGCGCGAGGCCCAAGAAAGACUCUGUUGCUCUUGCAUGGUGCCAAGUGGAGGCGGUGGUAAGCAUCUGCGGCGACAUUACGGGAACACGACAGAGCAUAAUGGCGACGGCUCUGCAGCGCCAUGCGCUCUCCAAAUCCGCAGAAGCAGAGCUCAUGGCCGCGGAUCGCGAACACGGCAGCGGCGGCGCUUCCGCGCUAUCUGCUGCCGUGCCGCCCGACAGCCUUCCAGCGGAGUGGGAGUACGUUGCUGGUGCUACACAAAAGCUGGCGGAUCUGUGUCGCGAGGUGGUGUGGUGCCAGGAAGCGGCUUUGGCGCUGUUGGAGGGGGCUUCCUGUUUGACUUAGAGACCGUGAAGGGGGAUAGAAUGCGACAGGAAAGCACCGCGCAACCCCCUCACUCGUCCUCGUUCAUGGCAAGCCGGUGUGUGUUAUCCCCAUUACUUGCAAAUUCGAGAUUGUGCUGGAGCCUUCAAAG